Molecule: long non-coding RNA, 219 nt
Filed under: Hordeum vulgare
Lineage: Eukaryota; Viridiplantae; Streptophyta; Magnoliopsida; Poales; Poaceae
Description: long non-coding RNA (HVUL_LNC012812)
Source: RNAcentral
UUUUUGCUGUUUAGUGCUAUAUAGGUUUAGCGAUAGGUUUAGUUAGCUUAGUUAGUUAGGUUAGUUAGCUUAAUAGAAAGAAUAGGAAGAAGAAGAAGAGGAGGAGGAGGAGAAGAGGAGAAGAGGAGGAGGAGGAGAAGAAGAAGAAGAAGAAGAAGAAGAAGAAGAAGAAGAGGAGGAGGAGGGGAAGACAAAAAUAAGAAGGAGAAGAAGAAGAAG